This 3529-nucleotide long non-coding RNA is filed under the name Mus musculus (house mouse). RNAcentral describes it as "long non-coding RNA chr5:90934163-90937692". Lineage: Eukaryota; Metazoa; Chordata; Mammalia; Rodentia; Muridae. The record is from RNAcentral.
UGCCUUUUCUGCAGAGUUACUGCUUGCUUUAAAGACCGGUAACCCUCCCUGAAGCUUGGAAACGAGACUCCAACUAGGACUAUCACAAAAGCUGAUUUAAAAAGAUUUAUUUAUUUAUUUAUUUUUAAUGUAUGUGAGUACACUGUAGCUGUCUUUAGCCAUACCAGAAAAGGGCAUCAGAUCCCAUUACAGAUGGUUGUGAACCACCAUGUGGUUGCUGGGAAUUGAACUCAGGACCUCUGGAAGAGCAGUCAGUGCUCUUAACCACUGAGCCAUCUCUCCAGCCCCCAAAGCUGAUUUUUUUUAAAAUCUAAAUUAAUUUCAGUGAAGAGAGAACUAGUCAUAAAGGCUACCAGUGCAGUUUCUCAAAAUUGUACUGUUUGGUUGGCAAAGCUGAUCAUGUGAUCUGUUUCCUGUUGGACUUAGUUAUCUAGCUACAGUUUUAUUUUCUAAGCAGCUCAGUUGUUUUACACUUGGAAACUAAACUAUUUUACCACCUGGUGCAUCCUAUUUAAAUUGUAUCCUCUCAAGUCCAGAAAUGGUGUACUAAUGUAACAUCCUCAAGAUAAAAUCUCAGAGUGUUAGAUCAUGGCCCUGCCCUGUAAAACAUUGGUCACUGUAAGAGGCCAGAUCCUACAGCCUGAAGAGAAGCAGGCCACACCUCCUGCAACUCUGUGGGACACUUAGGAAGCCUUGCUAUUCUGUGAUUUGUUAGUUCCCAAUGUGUGGUCCUGCCCAGUGCCUGGUUUUACCAUACUCCUUGUCAAGAAAGCUACCCUACGUGUUGUGGGACUUCCACCACCCCUGAAAGGAUAUGAGUUGGAUAUUACAUUUUCUUUCAGGGGUUCUCUGAAGGCUUCUUGUAAGUCUCCCUCUCAUCAUCCUGUCCAGAGGAUUGAUCUCUCGCUCUCUCUCUCUCUCUCUCUCUCUCUCUCUCUCCUUUAUUUCUGUUAAUGCAGCUCUUUUCUACCUUUCCAUGUCUUAAAGGAAGCCUAUUCUACUUUCUCUUUAAGGUUGUCUCUGAUACUUUAUUACACACACACACACACACACACACACACACACAUUCAUUCAUUCAUAUAUCUGUCUAUUCUUUUUCUAAAGUGAUACUUGUUUGUGUAUGGCCAUGGGGAUUGAACCCAAGGCUAUGAAAGUGCUGAGCAAGUUCAGAGAGAUAUACCUUCGGCAUACAAAUUAUACUUAUUUCUAUGAAAAGGAGUCAAUAUAACCCUGGCUAGCAUGAAACUAUAUAGGCUGGCCAAAACUCACAGAGAUCUGAUUGUCUCUGCAUCCUGAGUAUUCAAAGUCAUGUAUUACUACACCUGGCCAAAAUAUACUUUCUUAAACUCUAAAUAUAACCAACCAGGUUCAUUAGUAUUUUCUCAGAUCCCCAUAAUGUAACAUAUCUUAAUGUAGGGUCCCACAGAUAGAAUUGAGGGAAUCCAUGAACCUGGAAGGGGUUCUGAUCAAUUCAGCAUUUUUUCCCUUGUAAAUACUGGCAACAAAUCAUGUUAAUAUUAUCAUCAGUCACUGCUUGUGAGGUCACUAAUACACAGGUAUAUUCUAACAUCACGGUUGAUUAAGUUAUCCCAAAACAUCAUCUAUUUUCAUCACUUUAAUAAUAUGGUACUUACUAUAAGACUUACCCCCACCCUAGGCUAUCUUGAUAAAACUGGUUUCCCUUGUAACUUUGUGUAUUCACAUCUGAAACCAUUCUUCUGAGAAUGUGUCCAGGGACUUCUGCAGGUGAACCAAGGCUUCUUGUGGUACCAAAUAUUUUUCUGGAGAAGAAUAGCAAUGAUCAUGUGGGCUCUGGUUGAUAUAUAAAAGUAUAUCUUUUGGUAAUUACUAAUUCUUUGGUUUUAUUUAAGGAUUCUAAUUCGGCAAGCUAUAAAAUUGACAUUGGAACGAAUCAUACACAACAGACUAUGCUUUGCUUUAUUGCUUUGUUUUUCACAAAGACAUGAUUUUUCCUAAAAAUUGCUUCAAGGUUUGCAUGAAGUACUUAAGGUGGGAAAUGAAAUGCUCAUAACACGGUCCCAAACUUAACUUUCAUUAGUGUUCACUUAUUUUAAAAAUAUGCCACAAAAGGCUCGGGAUUAUUGUUGUUAGCAUUAUUAGUUCUUAUGGAUAUUUUUAACACAAACUUCAAAUACUCGUGUUGUACCUGAGACACACAGUGAUGAAGCUGAACUCGUGGAGACCUUAGGAUGGUUUAUGAUGAUAUGAGAUCUUCUCAUCUUUAUAGAUUCUAAAGCAGUUCAUUGAUGCUGUCAUUAAAGUUAUAAUUAAACAGGAGUUUGAAGGACUUGUCAAGUGUCCAAGUUAAUUGCUGCAUUGGUCUUGACUAAGCUGUGGUAUUUAUGGAGGAAUAGGGUAUACAAAAAGUUGUCUUUCUUGUUUAUUGGUCUGCUCAGGUUUAUUAUACUCUAUAUACUCUGUCUUUGAUUAUAGUAACCAUAGUCUAAGAAAGUUGCAUGUUUAUAAGAAAGACAAAUAAGCUCCUAGAAACAUGGCUAAAUACGGAUGGCUCUCUUCCCAUACUGCUCCAGGUUAUGCAAAUGUGUCUCCAUUAUUUACGAGAACUAGAAAGUAGAACCAUUUUGUAAACUAGCCAGGCAACUCCUAGCCUUACUGUGUAAGAUAAGCAGAGAGCAUUCUGCCUGUAUACACAAGGUAAUCCUGGUCCUUUGGAAGCAAUUAAGUAAUUUGCCUGUGGACCAGGCUUACACCCAACCAUUCUGGUUUCCAUUGAGUAAUUUUUACUGCAUAGGGCCACUCUCACACACCCCUUGCCUUCUGCAGUGAUUUAUUGCUUACUAGUAAAGUCACGGUCAGCAGCUAUCUCAGCAACAGAGAAGAAAGGCUGUGGGAAGAGGGCCUUCCUUCCUUCCUUGUUUGGGAGCUGAUCAAGAUAUUUCUGUAAUUUCAGGAAAUAGCAUCCAAGCAAGCGAUCAUAGCUGCGCUGUGAGGGUCACAUCUAAGGGGUCAAGUUAGGUGUACUUUUGAUGUGAACUAGUGACCACAAAAAAAAAAAUUCUGAGAAAUUAAAAAGAUUUUAAAAUUAUGAAAAAUUAUUCACUUAGAAUAUUUGUUAUCUUAGAAACAUAUUAUGGGACCUAUGAAAUAGUAUUCUCAGAACAUUUCCAGUAAUAUUUUUAAAAAGUUUGUAUACUUAUAUAGUAAAGCAAAUUUUUCAUAUAAACUUUUGGAAUUUUAACUUUUAGUAAGACUGAAUAAUUACUCUUAGUAUUUAUGAAAAAUUUGAAUCACUUUCAUAAUUAUUCCUUUCUUAAUACUGAUACUUAGAUUUUUCUGGAAAAUUUUAAGCAUAUAUUUAAUUAAAUAUUCUUGCAAUAUUUUACAAGUUUCAACUUUACGUGUUUCCUUUUGCCAAAUAGAAAAAAUUUUAGUUUAUAAUUUAUUUCAUCUACUGAUAUUAAAGUAGGACUAAGCUUAGGACAAACCUGCAUCAAACUGUUUCAAUCUUUAUUUUGUAAUGAAAUAUAAAGAUACUUUUGUUUACAUC